GAAGGUUCGGAAGUGUUUGCGGAAGCUCAAGGCAAGUCACACAGAUCCCAAACAACCCUUUGAGCAUGUUGAACCCAUUUAAAGCUAUUAUUUUAUUUCAACUAUGCAUUGUUUUCGAAUGUCAUCGGGUGGUGAACCUUUCCCCGUUAAUUAAUGGCCGAAGAUGAUCUUAUUUUCCUAUGGGUUAUAAUUUGAUUAGUAUGAACCUUAUAUAUUGGAUUGGUUCAGCUAAAUGCUAUAUGUAAGUUUGCUUAGCUAUGCUUAGAAACAUUAGCUAACUAAAGGGGUUAAUUAUAAACUAUAUUAUAUUAUUCUUAUUAAUUAUGGUUAUAUUUAAUGGUAGCUCACGAUGGUUAAUCAUGUGAUGUUAAUUAAUUGAUAAUUAAAACCUGGUUAAGGUGGGUUGUGAGCAUAUGGUUUUGAAGGUCGUGCUCAUGGCAAUUAAGGACCGGUUCGCGAGCUACUGUUGUGAAACAUUUACCGUGCCAACCACAAGCCAGCAUGGGCAACGGCUUUAUCUUUUGUAUAGCAUGGUUCAUUAUAGUGUGCCAGACUGUGAAGUGGCGAGAAGUCCACGGGGGUCACUGGGGAGUCCAUGCCUUGUUUAUAAGGGGGUGAUUAUGAUCCGGGAAUGGUGCACUGUUUUGAGUUGUGUUGUGCAAAGGGUAUUGUCACGAUUUCCCCCUUUGCAAUGCCGUGGUGGUAUUUCGGGGCAUGGCAACAUGUGUGGAAUCGUGUCUUGUGGGUACAGUGGUACACCUCUGGCCAGAGUAAAACUAUUCGAAUAGCCGUGCCCGCGGUUAUGGGCGGGUUGAGCAAUGUUUUUCGUGAUUAGUCUCACACCUCUCACAAUAAUUAUGGAUGUUAUAACUGGUAAUAAUUUGCUUAGCUCCUGGUUUGGAGUUAGAUCUGUACAGCCGGGUAUGGUUGUUCAGGAUGGUUGGGCCUGAGCAGCAUGGGUGUGCUGUUCAGUGUUGAUUAAAAUUUCUGAUUAAUUACUCCACUGUUUUACUUCUCUUAAAUGUUUUGCUAAAUGCUGCUUUUGCAAAUGAGCCUGUAUUAUGCCAUCCUUUGGUAUCCUUGUGCACUUGCAUAUUUGCUGUGUGGCUUGUUGAGUAUGUCAUAUGCUCAUUCUUGCAAUAAUCAUCAAACCUCAGUUGAAGAAAAAGGAUCCAGAAGGAGAAGACGUUUAGCUUAUACCCCAGUUGAGCUGCCUGUGGGAGUGGAGCUGAAGCCAUCGCUAGACCGUUAAUUCCGCUGCUGUUUUCUUUUCUUUUGUAAGUAUGUAACGUUAUUAUUAAGAUGGAUUUGUAUAUUAAAUUGUCAGUUUGUGUACCUCGGUUGAUUCCUGGACGAGGAUUUUAUGCACAAAUAAGUUCGGAAAUUACUAGUGAAUUUCCGGGCGUGACAAGUUGGUAUCAGAGCCAUCUCGACUGUAGGAUAAGCCAAAUGGUCAAACCUUAAGGACAAAUCUUCCGAAAACAUAAUUUGUGAAAAUUUCUCCUUUCUUCCUUAUCUAGAAUUCUUUGCAAAUUGUUUCAUUGUCUACUCUCCUCUCUCGUUCAACUUGAGUAGUUCUGAAACUAGUUGUUGAAACUAGAAGAUGUUGAUGAGGUCAACUUAUGGAGGCCAGUAAAGUGGAUCGAGGAAGAACCGAAGUGCAAGUGGUCAAGAUGGAAUGAAGUUUGGAUCCUAUCUUAGAACCUAUGCCGCCAAACUGUCCUCGAAGAAUAGUUAGUAGGGUAGAACGUUUGUUGUUUGCUUUGUGUGUAGGUAUAGUUGCAUUCCCAUCAUUGGAGUAGUUCAUUGAUGAGUGUGUAACUAUACUAGGUUGCUUGCUUAAUCAACUUGAACAAUAUAAUGGUCUACACACAUCAGAUCAGUGUUAACCUGGUUAAGGUCUUAUCUUUAGUGUAACCCCUCUCCUCCUAUCUUCUCUAAUCUGCAACAGAUGGUGAACACUCGCGCCAGUGGAAGUGGAAACAAUAACAAUGAAGAGAACCCAACCCUUGCUCAAGUGCUGGCUCAACAGACCCAAUUGAUCAACAUGUUAGUGCAACAAAUGCAGAACCAGCAAGGGAACAACAAUGUCAAUCCUCCGCCGCCGCAGAACAAGUUAGCUGAUUUUCUUCGUGUGAGGCCGCCUACCUUCUCUAGCACUACCAACCCAGUGGAAGCAGGUGAUUGGUUGCACGCUGUUGAGAAGAAGUUGGAAUUGCUCCAGUGCACGGAUCAGAAGAAAGUUGUUUUCGCUUCACAUCAGUUGCAAGGAUCUGCUUCAGAAUGGUGGGAUCACAUCCGGAUGAACAGAGCAGAAGGACAACCAAUCACUUGGGCGGAGUUCACUGAGGCAUUCAAGAAGACACACAUACCUGCAGGUGUUGUUGCUUUGAAGAAACGUGAGUUUAGGGCUUUGAAGCAAAAGGAUCAUACCGUGGCAGAGUAUCUUCAUGAGUUCAAUCGUCUAGCUCGCUAUGCUCCAGAAGAUGUGCGUACUGACGAGGAAAGGCAGGAGAAGUUCUUGGAAGGCUUAAAGGAUGAGCUGUCAGUUAUGUUGAUCUCUCAUGACUAUGAGGAUUUUCAGGAGUUGGUUGACAAAGCAAUUCGACUGGAAGACAAGAAGAACAGGAUGGACAAUCGUAAGAGAGGAAGGAUUGUUUUCCAGGAGGCACAGGAUAGUAGCCAGAGGCAGCGUAUCAAGCCACUCCAAAUUGGUGAAUCUUUUUCUACUGGUCAAGGACAGUCGCAACAGUUGAACAUCGGUGGUGAGAUCAAAUCAGAGACUAAUGAAAGCAAUGAAGUUAACAUCGAGCAAGCUAAUCAGCCGGUGCCAGUUCAGCAGGAUCAGUCUCAAGAGAAUAACAGUAGUGGAAGGGAGCAGCAGGUAUGUUUCAACUGUUACAAGCCAGGUCACUUUGCAAGAGAGUGUCCGAAGCCGAAGCAUCAGCAGCCGCAAGGUCAGAUCAACAACAUUGUUGUCACAGGAGCUAAUGCAGUGCCAGUUGCGUCUUCAAGAGUUGCGUCUUCAAGUGUUACAGCUCAGCCACCAGUUUCAAAGCAGCAGUAGUUUUCUUUAAAGCCUUAGAAUAAUUAUCUGAGUUAUGGAAUAAUAAGAUAGAAUGCAGUUUACCUAUGCCCUUUUCUUUCUAGCCGUUCCGAAUCUCGGGACGAGAUUCUUUGUAAGGGGGGUAGAUUUGUCACAUCCUGAUUUUUGUUUCAGGAUUUAUAAAUUAUUUAAUAAAUUAUUAUUAGAAUUUAUAUUAAAUGUUCAUUAAUUUACAAAUGAAGUUAAAUGUGGGAAAUAAAAUUUCCUAAAUAUAAAGCAUGGAUGGAUUUAAUUUUUAUUAAAUUCUCCAUGGUUAAUUAUACUCUCUGGAAUAUUCUCGGAUUUUUCGGAGCUCAAUUCCUAAUUUUAAUCAUACAAAGAGCAUUUCAGUAAUUACCCACAUAUUAAAUUAAUCAUUAAAUGGUCUGAUUAUAAUUUUUUUAAGUACUUUUAGUGUCCAAGUAUUUUCAGGAUUUUUCUUGAAAUUAUUUGAGCGUUGGAAGUAUUUUUAACAAUUCAAAGAUCAUUUUAGUGAUUAUUUUAAUUGAAAAAGUUUUAAAAGCCCUCCCUUAAGUCGUUGGGCCGAAUUCGGCCCAACACUCCCUCUCUCCCGCGCGGCCGAGCCGGCCCAAAACCGGCCCGAGUCGGCUCAAGCCGAGCCGCCCGCCCCCUCCUCUCUCAGGCGCCGACAUGUGGGGCCCACAUGUCGGUUGCUUCUCCUACCUCCGGCCGGCCGGCCAUGCCUAGCCCGAGCCGCCGCCUUGCCGCCUCAAAUCCGCACCCAAUCCGGCCCCGUUUCUUCCGGAUUUUUGAGGGGUUUUGAUCCUCUCGUUCUCCUCUAUCCUUUCCCCUAAGAAUCGGAGCAAACCGUUGAGUAUUUUAUCCGAAUCGAACUCGUUUUUGAGUUUAUCUCCAAAACCGAGUUUUUGAUUUCCCGGAUCGAUUUCUUGCGGGAGGAGUCCGAUCUCUUCAAUCCAAGGCUAUAAAUAGGACCCCCUAGUCCUCCUCUUUCGUUUGCCCCCUCUCCCGUCCUCUCCCGUGACCCGUAGAGCCGUCGCCGCGUGAAACCAUCCGCCGCCGCCGCCGGCCGGGUUGCAGCCGCGCCGAGCAGCCUUCUCCGCCGUCGCCGCCGCUUGCCGCCAUCACCUUUAGGUGCGCCAAGCCGUGGGGAAGCUCGGCCGCCCGUUCCCCUUCGCCGCCGGCCACCGGAGCCCCUCCGCCGCCGGUCAACCGAGCCGCCGCCGUCGCCCCUCUCGUUGCCGGUCGUCGUCCGACGUCGUUUGUCGUUGUGGUGAGUACCGUUGGGUUCGUCUCGUCGUCCUCUACGUGUACAUGCCCUCCUUUUUCCCGGCCGACCACCCUAGCUCCUGCGAGGUCGCCAUCUGAGCCGGCCGCCACACAUCAUCAUCUUCUCCUUUUCCAGUUUUUUCUAAUAGAUGAAAUCUUCGGAAAAUCAUAACUAAAUAACCGUAGAUCCGUUUCAGGUGGUUCAAGUUGCUAAAUUUUUCUAAAAUCAAGAUCUACAUGUUAAAAAUAUCCACAUGUACUGUUUAUGCUUGUUUUUGUACUGUUUUGUUGAUUUUUAUUCUUUUGCUUUAGUUUCCGACGUUCUGAAGGAGAGCCUUUCCGUUGAGGAAGGUUCGGAAGUGUUUGCGGAAGCUCAAGGCAAGUCACACAGAUCCCAAACAACCCUUUGAGCAUGUUGAACCCAUUUAAAGCUAUUAUUUUAUUUCAACUAUGCAUUGUUUUCGAAUGUCAUCGGGUGGUGAACCUUUCCCCGUUAAUUAAUGGCCGAAGAUGAUCUUAUUUUCCUAUGGGUUAUAAUUUGAUUAGCAUGAACCUUAUAUAUUGGAUUGGUUCAGCUAAAUGCUAUAUGUAUGUUUGCUUAGCUAUGCUUAGAAACAUUAGCUAACUAAAGGGG
RNAcentral lists this long non-coding RNA (4967 nucleotides) under Oryza sativa (Asian cultivated rice). Its description in RNAcentral is "long non-coding RNA (OSAT_LNC000695)". Lineage: Eukaryota; Viridiplantae; Streptophyta; Magnoliopsida; Poales; Poaceae. The record is from RNAcentral.